RNAcentral lists this unclassified non-coding RNA (1406 nucleotides) under Zea mays. RNAcentral describes it as "misc RNA Zm00001eb148150". Lineage: Eukaryota; Viridiplantae; Streptophyta; Magnoliopsida; Poales; Poaceae. The record is from RNAcentral.
GUGAAGGCCAAGAAGAUGGAGCGCCUCGUCGCCGCCACCGCCAAGCUCUGCUCCGAGAUGGAGACGCUCGACGAGCUGGAAUCCGCCGACCGGAAGUUGAACGUCCGGGGCUGGAGUCGACUCAGCGGCCCGAUCCCGCAGCAGCCACAGGCGGCGGCCCAGCAGCAGCAGCAACAAUUGACCGGGGAUUCACCUGGCGCGGAGUCGCUCCGGCAAGAGCUCAAGACGCAGCAGCUCAAAGUGAAGCGCCUCAAGGACGAGUCCCUGUGGAACCAGAGCUACAAGAAGGCCGUAGGCCUCAUGGCGCGCGCCGCCUGCGCGCUGUUCGUCCGCAUCUGCUCCAUCUUCGGCCCAUUCGUCGCUGGCCUCCCGCCGCCGCUGCCGUCGGCCAGCACGGACAGCGUCCAGACCCGGCUGUCGAAGCUGCUGCACCCGCGGUCGGCGAAGGCGAAGGCGUCGUCCGGGCCGAUCACGCGUCGGGACGGCCCGUCCCGCGUGCACCCGCCGAUGAGCAACUCGUGCCCGAUCAUCGGGCGGCACCCGCCGGGCCAGAAACCCCCCACCAACUGGCGCAAGGUCCUGGACGCGCCGCCCAGCACCGUCGGCGGCGCGGGGCUGGACCAGCAGUACGCGAACGUGAUCGCGUCCGCGGAGGAGCUGCUGCGCAUGGAGGCCGAGGGCCGCCAGGAGGAGGCCUCCGCGGAGCGCGCCGAGAUGUACGAGAUGCUCCCGGCGAAGCUCCGCGCGGCGGUCCGGUCGAAGCUGCGGGAGUGGUGGCGCGACCCGGGCCCGCUGGACGAGGGCCUGGCGCGCGGGUGGAAGGACGCGGUGGACCGCAUCAUGGCGUGGCUGGGUCCGAUGGCGCGCGACACGGUGCAGUGGCAGGCGGAGCGGAACAUGGACCGGACGCGCCGGUUCGACGGCGCCCCGCGCGUGUACGCGCUGCAGACGCUGCGGUGGGCGGACAAGGACAAGGCCGAGGCGGCCAUCGUCGAGGUGCUCGUCGCGCUGAGCUGCAUCUGUUGGUACGAGGAGCGCCGGCGAGGCUCCGUCCGUCUCGGUUGAACCAUUCAACGCAUUCUUUCCCCUCGCUCGAUCAGAUCGGUCGUGGCGGGUGGCCGUUUCUUCCUCUUCUCUCCUGCGUUUGUCAAAUAUUUGAUUUGAAGAGUUGAUUUUUUGAGCCGGUAGUAGAAGAAUUAGAAGUUAGAACGGGGUGGUGAUGCGUUGAACGGGUUAGGAAGGAAGGAGACACAGCAGCAGCAGCAAUACUUGAAACGAAAUCGAUGGUUGGUAUGCGCGUUGGGGUGGCUGUCAGCGGCGUGACGCCGACACGUGGGGGCCUCGCUUCCCACUCUCCCGUCGGUCUCACGCCAGUGACAGAGUCCGGUGUACAACACAGCGUCACG